GACAGGGGAUGCAAGCGUUACUCGGAAUUACUGGGCGUAAAGCGUCUGUAGGUGUCUGAAAAAGUCUGGGGUAAAAGUUCGGAGCUCAACUCCGUGAUCGUCCCGGAAACUCUUCAGAUUGAGUUAUCCAGAGGCACCUGGAAUGCCAUAAGUAGGGGUAAAAUCCGUAGAUAUAUGGUAGAACGCCAAAAGCGAAGGCAGGGUGCUGGGGAUACACUGACACUGAGAGACGAAAGCGUGGGGAGCAAAG
This 250-nucleotide ribosomal RNA is filed under the name uncultured bacterium. RNAcentral describes it as "partial 16S ribosomal RNA". It matches the Rfam family "Bacterial small subunit ribosomal RNA", at positions 524 to 773 of the family's 1533-position model. The record is from RNAcentral.